CUGCAGCAAUUUUUUUAAAGACGAGGAAAAUUGUUUCAACUCUCUAUGAUCAUGCGGUCCAAACAGAGGUGUAUUAAUAGACAGACCUCAUACAUGCGAAUAUCACAUUAUUUCAAUGUUGCAUCAUGGGAUGCCACUCAGGCCAAAAAAAAAAACUAAAUCACUUUGAAAUCAGUAACUACACUUUGGAUGGAACUCCUAGCAUGUGCUAAAAAAAUUGCUGCAGUUACAGCAGCCAUAAAUCUCAUUAAAAUAAUCCUCAGUUAUGUGCUGUCACCAAUACCAUAUGCUCUAUCAGGUCCAGUACUCGGUUGCUGUAUCCCCACUCAUUAUC
RNAcentral lists this unclassified non-coding RNA (334 nucleotides) under Hevea brasiliensis (rubber tree). The record is from RNAcentral. Lineage: Eukaryota; Viridiplantae; Streptophyta; Magnoliopsida; Malpighiales; Euphorbiaceae.